CCCUGCCAUUUGUACACACCGCCCGUCGCUACUACCGAUUGAAUGGUUUAGUGAGGCCUCGGGACUAGCGCAGAAGGGCGGUCUCGUCCGUUCUGCGCCGGGAACUUGGUCAAACUUGAUCAUUUAGA
Molecule: ribosomal RNA, 128 nt
Filed under: uncultured eukaryote
Lineage: Eukaryota
Description: partial small subunit ribosomal RNA
Rfam family: Eukaryotic small subunit ribosomal RNA
Source: RNAcentral